UAAUCUCUCAACUUGGGCUUUGGGAUUCUUCUUCCCAAAGGCCCAGAGUUUGGAUGCUGGAGGUGUUGCUGGCUGCCACCAUUGGUCAGCUCCUCUGAAAAAAAUCAGCAAAGGGAAACGCACCUGUUCCUGCAUCUCGUGCUCUGGCAUUGAUAAUUGUCUAUGCCUGUCGUGGCUCAGAUGCCUUUCGGAUCGGUGAGCGUCUCUGCUUACAGUCGUCCUUUGGACAUUUUGAC
This 236-nucleotide unclassified non-coding RNA is filed under the name Hygrocybe cantharellus. RNAcentral describes it as "partial internal transcribed spacer 2". The record is from RNAcentral. Lineage: Eukaryota; Fungi; Basidiomycota; Agaricomycetes; Agaricales; Hygrophoraceae.